This 707-nucleotide ribosomal RNA is filed under the name Salmonella enterica. RNAcentral's name for it is "partial 23S ribosomal RNA". It matches the Rfam family "Bacterial large subunit ribosomal RNA", at positions 2224 to 2925 of the family's 2925-position model. Lineage: Bacteria; Pseudomonadati; Pseudomonadota; Gammaproteobacteria; Enterobacterales; Enterobacteriaceae. RNAcentral also lists the same sequence under 1 other name. The record is from RNAcentral.
AACGUGGACCCGUAAUCCGGGUUGCGGACAGUGUCUGGUGGGUAGUUUGACUGGGGCGGUCUCCUCCUAAAGAGUAACGGAGGAGCACGAAGGUUGGCUAAUCCUGGUCGGACAUCAGGAGGUUAGUGCAAUGGCAUAAGCCAGCUUGACUGCGAGCGUGACGGCGCGAGCAGGUGCGAAAGCAGGUCAUAGUGAUCCGGUGGUUCUGAAUGGAAGGGCCAUCGCUCAACGGAUAAAAGGUACUCCGGGGAUAACAGGCUGAUACCGCCCAAGAGUUCAUAUCGACGGCGGUGUUUGGCACCUCGAUGUCGGCUCAUCACAUCCUGGGGCUGAAGUAGGUCCCAAGGGUAUGGCUGUUCGCCAUUUAAAGUGGUACGCGAGCUGGGUUUAGAACGUCGUGAGACAGUUCGGUCCCUAUCUGCCGUGGGCGCUGGAGAACUGAGGGGGGCUGCUCCUAGUACGAGAGGACCGGAGUGGACGCAUCACUGGUGUUCGGGUUGUCAUGCCAAUGGCACUGCCCGGUAGCUAAAUGCGGAAGAGAUAAGUGCUGAAAGCAUCUAAGCACGAAACUUGCCCCGAGAUGAGUUCUCCCUGAGACUUAAAGUCUCCUGAAGGAACGUUGAAGACGACGACGUUGAUAGGCCGGGUGUGUAAGCGCAGCGAUGCGUUGAGCUAACCGGUACUAAUGAACCGUGAGGCUUAACCUU